Molecule: ribosomal RNA, 465 nt
Filed under: Vreelandella stevensii
Lineage: Bacteria; Pseudomonadati; Pseudomonadota; Gammaproteobacteria; Oceanospirillales; Halomonadaceae
Description: partial 16S ribosomal RNA
Rfam family: Bacterial small subunit ribosomal RNA
Source: RNAcentral
CCUACGGUGGGCCGCAGUGGGGAAUAUUGGACAAUGGGCGAAAGCCUGAUCCAGCCAUGCCGCGUGUGUGAAGAAGGCCUUCGGGUUGUAAAGCACUUUCAGUGGGGAAGAAAGCCUUGGGGCUAAUACCCUCGAGGAAGGACAUCACCCACAGAAGAAGCACCGGCUAACUCCGUGCCAGCAGCCGCGGUAAUACGGAGGGUGCGAGCGUUAAUCGGAAUUACUGGGCGUAAAGCGCGCGUAGGCGGUCUGAUAAGCCGGUUGUGAAAGCCCCGGGCUCAACCUGGGAACGGCAUCCGGAACUGUCAGGCUAGAGUGCAGGAGAGGAAGGUAGAAUUCCCGGUGUAGCGGUGAAAUGCGUAGAGAUCGGGAGGAAUACCAGUGGCGAAGGCGGCCUUCUGGACUGACACUGACGCUGAGGUGCGAAAGCGUGGGUAGCAAACAGGAUUAGAUACCCUUGUAGUC